CUUAAACUUUGCGACUUAUUUUUCUUGCCUUACCUAGCGACAGGCCAAUGACGCGCCAGAUGCGUGUGUCAUCCGCCAGACACUCCCCCGAGGCGAGCGAGGGCGGCUGUGCGCGCGUUUGAGUGCUCGCCUGCGGCGACCCGUCUGUCCCUUUUUUUAAAUGUAGCCCGGUUUCUUGGGCUCCCGGCGUAUUCUUGCGUUCCUUCUGCACUGGGACAAGACAACACUGCACUAUUGGACUACGGCAAGCUGAUGCAGUCUGGUGGAGCUUCAUACGUGAACUACUGCUCACCUGGGGUCACAACAUUGGAUGAACGCACAAAAAGCACGGAACGAGCUUUUAUAUAGAGCAAAAUAAAUAUUUCCUCAUUUCA
Molecule: long non-coding RNA, 374 nt
Organism: Dermacentor silvarum
Lineage: Eukaryota; Metazoa; Arthropoda; Arachnida; Ixodida; Ixodidae
Exons: 2
Source: RefSeq, a predicted model, not a curated record